Molecule: long non-coding RNA, 1534 nt
Filed under: Salmo salar (Atlantic salmon)
Lineage: Eukaryota; Metazoa; Chordata; Actinopteri; Salmoniformes; Salmonidae
Description: lncRNA (ENSSSAG00000084305.1, ENSSSAG00000096360.1)
Source: RNAcentral
AAUGAUGAACCUUCUCAUGUAGUAGGGUCAUGUACCAUGGUACCUUCCACCCUGUGUUCUCAGCCAUGGUGGUACUGGUGAAGUUAGACUUGUUCUGAUGUCCCUCUCUAGCUGCUCCGGGGUCAUCGCCAUGUAAAGUCCAAAGACGAAAAAUAACCCUGAAGGAAGGAGAGAUGACUAGAAAGAAUCCGGUUGACCGCUUUAUGUGUGGAUUAAUUGUUGGAGUAGAGGACCUUGUGCAUUUCAGGUAAAAUAACAACUCAAUGUUUAUAUCCCAGGACAAAUAAGCUAGCUAAAUUGCCAUAAAUGUUUAAUGCUUUUCGACCUGUCCCCAAAUUAAUAUAAUUGGUUGAGAGUUUGUUUUGAUAUUUCGUGUCAUGAUCGCGUUUGGAGUGAGGGGACAAAAUCAAUUUGCGCACGAUGGCGGAUGCACUCGCGCGUCUGGUUUGGGCAUGGUGUAAUGGUUGUUUAAAUCUAAAAUUAGCUUGACGCGUUUUCGGUUAUCCUACAGACUCAGCGCAUUGCUACAUGGUACUUGAAGGAGAAUUGGAGGUUAAUAAUUUAUUACACUGUUUAGAUUGAGCACAUUUAAACGAAAGCUAAACUUCGUCAUGACGAUAUAAACGGAUGGAUGUGUUCCAGAUGAGGAAGGCCAUCUAUUGGCUGAUUUGGCGGCCUGGAGUGUAGGUCAUUGUUUUAUGAAAUGUGAUCCCAUAUCUCCAGUGACAAUAAUUAUGUAGCUAUGAAGUGUUCUCACACGAUUUCCUGAUUUUCACAACUUGGAAGUUACAUCAUGGGGAAAUGUUGUAUUUUACCCACUGAUAGAACAUAAACAUUCACCAAAUAAACAGGAGUUAUGUUUUUUAUUUCUGGGGGUGGAUUAUCCCUUUAAACUGUAUAGUGGUUAAUCAGUAGCCUUGCCUCAACCUAGUCAAAAUGCGAACCAAGGCAGGGUAAAAGAUGCAUUAUUUGUGUAUGUAGAAAUAAGUAACAAACAAGGACAUAUUUUAAUCUUGAUGAAUGACUAUUUGUAAUUUUACGACAAGCUAAGAUGUUCUUUCCCUUUAGUUUACAAUGUCUGUUCUGCCUCUAGUGACUCAGCUGCCUUCUGAUGUUUAUUAAGUCUGCUAAACUCACUCCAAUUUUCACUGUUAUUGAAAUAUGAAAAACUAUGGCCUUGUCAUUAUUAAUUCAUGUUUGCUUGUUGGUAACUUAGACAGGCAAGGGCCUCCAAGUGGCGCAGCGUCUAAAAAUGCUGACCAGACCGCACGCGCGCAUCUGAGUGCACCAUCGCCCGCAUGUUGAUUUUGUCCCCCCACACCAGAGAUCAGGACAGCAGGUUGAUUUUGUCCCCCCACACCAGAGAUCAGGACAGCAGGUUGAUUUUGUCCCCCCACACCAGAGAUCAAAACACACAGGUUGAUUUUGUCCCCCCACACCAGAGAUCAGGACAGCAGGUUGAUUUUGUCCCCCCACACCAGAGAUCAAAACACGCAGGUUGAUUUUGUCCCCCCACACCAGAGAUCAGAACACG